CAGGGUCUGACGACUGCCCAAACCAAACCGUGAACUCUUUUUACUUAAAAAUGCUUUGGCAGGCCGCUCGCUGGGGGAGCCCUGGACCGCCGCGAGGCGGUUGGCCUGCCGAAGGCAUGCAAACUCAAAAACUACUUGAAAUAGCUUUCUGAAAACCUUUUAUCUCCUCCGGGAGUGAAAAUAAUCA
This 187-nucleotide unclassified non-coding RNA is filed under the name uncultured Sordariomycetes. Its description in RNAcentral is "sequence contains ITS1". Lineage: Eukaryota; Fungi; Ascomycota; Sordariomycetes. The record is from RNAcentral.